AUUGGAAGAAUCAAUUCCUUUUUUUCACAGACAUACCAAAAUAGAUGCAACAAACCAGAUAUAGAUGUAAUCCAGUCAAAUCACACAGUUUCUUCAUAUAAUGGUGGUAAAAUCAGGAUAUACUGUUUGGCCCAUGGCGUGCCCUCUUCUCUGUUCACGUGGUAUGACCCCCGUAAUCGAUCAAUAUCGACUGGAACUCAUACUCUUACGGUUGUUGGUGUCUUGGAACUAGUAACCAUUGACGCAGGCAGCUAUGGGCUGUGCAGGUGCAAAGCAGAAAAUUUACUUGGUUAUGAUGAACACAUUAUCAAUGUCACCCAAACAGCUCUUCCUACUUCUACGGUACCAUCGGAAAGUAAACGCCAUGUAAAAGGCUCAAUAUCAAGAGUUAACCGAGGUAAUCUAA
Actinia tenebrosa (Australian red waratah sea anemone) is the source of this 406-nucleotide long non-coding RNA. Lineage: Eukaryota; Metazoa; Cnidaria; Anthozoa; Actiniaria; Actiniidae. The record is from RefSeq and is a predicted model, not a curated record.